GUGGGGAAUAUUGCGCAAUGGGCGAAAGCCUGACGCAGCGACGCCGCGUGAGGGAUGAAGGUUUUCGGAUCGUAAACCUCUGUCAGAAGGGAAGAAACUACGUUGUGCUAAUCAGCAGCGUACUGACGGUACCUUCAAAGGAAGCACCGGCUAACUCCGUGCCAGCAGCCGCGGUAAUACGGAGGGUGCAAGCGUUAAUCGGAAUUACUGGGCGUAAAGCGCACGUAGGCUGUAGUGUAAGUCAGGGGUGAAAUCCCACGGCUCAACCGUGGAACUGCCUUUGAUACUGCACAACUUGAAUCCGGGAGAGGGUGGCGGAAUUCCAGGUGUAGGAGUGAAAUCCGUAGAUAUCUGGAGGAACAUCAGUGGCGAAGGCGGCCACCUGGACCGGUAUUGACGCUGAGAUGCGAAAGCCAGGGUAGCGAACGGGAUUAGAAACCCGAGUAGUCC
RNAcentral lists this ribosomal RNA (450 nucleotides) under uncultured bacterium. RNAcentral describes it as "partial 16S ribosomal RNA". It matches the Rfam family "Bacterial small subunit ribosomal RNA", at positions 354 to 796 of the family's 1533-position model. The record is from RNAcentral.